RNAcentral lists this transfer RNA (89 nucleotides) under Bolbitis deltigera. RNAcentral describes it as "tRNA-Ser". It matches the Rfam family "tRNA". Rfam says of the family: Transfer RNA (tRNA) molecules are approximately 80 nucleotides in length. Their secondary structure includes four short double-helical elements and three loops (D, anti-codon, and T loops). Further hydrogen bonds mediate the characteristic L-shaped molecular structure. tRNAs have two regions of fundamental functional importance: the anti-codon, which is responsible for specific mRNA codon recognition, and the 3' end, to which the tRNAs corresponding amino acid is attached (by aminoacyl-tRNA synthetases). tRNAs cope with the degeneracy of the genetic code in two manners: having more than one tRNA (with a specific anti-codon) for a particular amino acid; and 'wobble' base-pairing, i.e. permitting non-standard base-pairing at the 3rd anti-codon position. The record is from RNAcentral. Lineage: Eukaryota; Viridiplantae; Streptophyta; Polypodiopsida; Polypodiales; Dryopteridaceae.
GGAGAGAUGGUCGAGCGGUUUAAGGCUCCAGUCUUGAAAACUGGCGUGGUGAUAAAGUACCAUCGAGGGUUCGAAUCCCUCUCUCUCCU